This 253-nucleotide ribosomal RNA is filed under the name uncultured bacterium. Its description in RNAcentral is "partial 16S ribosomal RNA". It matches the Rfam family "Bacterial small subunit ribosomal RNA", at positions 524 to 776 of the family's 1533-position model. The record is from RNAcentral.
UACGAAGGGGGCUAGCGUUGUUCGGAAUUACUGGGCGUAAAGCGCGCGCAGGCGGUCCUUCAAGUCAGAGGUGAAAGCCCAGAGCUCAACUCUGGAAUGGCCUUUGAGACUAGAGGACUUGGGUACGGGAGAGGUGAGUGGAAUUCCGAGUGUAGAGGUGAAAUUCGUAGAUAUUCGGAAGAACACCAGUGGCGAAGGCGACUCACUGGACACAUAUUGACGCUGAGGUGCGAAAGCGUGGGGAGCAAACAGG